UCGAAAGAUUGGCUAAUACCGCAUACGACCUGAGGGUGAAAGCGGGGGACCGAAAGGCCUCGCGCAGCAGGAGCGGCCGAUGUCUGAUUAGCUAGUUGGUGGGGUAAAGGCCCACCAAGGCGACGAUCAGUAGCUGGUCUGAGAGGACGAUCAGCCACACUGGGACUGAGACACGGCCCAGACUCCUACNGGAGGCANCAGUGGGGAAUUUUGGACAAUGGGGGCAACCCUGAUCCAGCAAUGCCGCGUGUGUGAAGAAGGCCUUCGGGUUGUAAAGCACUUUUGUCCGGAAAGAAAUCCCCUGGGAUAAUACCUCGGGGGGAUGACUGUACCNGAAGAAUAAGCACCGGCUAACUACGUGCCAUCAGCCGCGGUAAUACGUA
RNAcentral lists this ribosomal RNA (383 nucleotides) under Cupriavidus sp. Its description in RNAcentral is "bacterial SSU rRNA". It matches the Rfam family "Bacterial small subunit ribosomal RNA", at positions 151 to 529 of the family's 1533-position model. The record is from RNAcentral. Lineage: Bacteria; Pseudomonadati; Pseudomonadota; Betaproteobacteria; Burkholderiales; Burkholderiaceae.